UGUGGUGAUAUUAAAAAUAUACAUUUUAUUUUUGGCAAUCAUUUUUCUUUUAUAAAUUCAAAAAAGAAAAUGUAUAUUUUGUUAUAUAUAACCAACGUUUGAGUUUUAAAAAAGAUAAAUGAAUUUAUAAGAAAAUGAUUGCCAAAAAGAAAAUGUAUAUUUUGUUAUAUUACCAAAA
This is a microRNA precursor of Arabidopsis lyrata subsp. lyrata, 178 nucleotides long. It matches the Rfam family "MIR4208 microRNA precursor family". Lineage: Eukaryota; Viridiplantae; Streptophyta; Magnoliopsida; Brassicales; Brassicaceae. The record is from Rfam.